AUUUACUUCAAGAAUUAGAAUAUUUAAGAGUUUGAAGGUUUGAGUAAGAAAAUUUCGAUGACUAGAAAUAGUGAUAUUGAUUCUAAUCAACACCGAUGAUAUUGAUCUUUUCUUUAUGAAAUGAUUAAAUGAUGAAGUUACAUUGAGAAUUAAAAUAUCAAAAGUUCGAGAAUGAGAUUGAAAUGAUAAAUCUUCAAUCUUUG
Molecule: long non-coding RNA, 203 nt
Filed under: Elaeis guineensis (African oil palm)
Lineage: Eukaryota; Viridiplantae; Streptophyta; Magnoliopsida; Arecales; Arecaceae
Description: long non-coding RNA (EGUI_LNC070056)
Source: RNAcentral